GACGGGGGGGGCAAGUGUUCUUCGGAAUGACUGGGCGUAAAGGGCACGUAGGCGGUGAAUCGGGUUGAAAGUGAAAGUCGCCAAAAACUGGCGGAAUGCUCUCGAAACCAAUGAACUUGGGUGAGACAGAGGAGAGUGGAAUUUCGUGUGUAGGGGUGAAAUGCGUAGAUAUUGAGAAGAACACCAGUAGCGAAGGCGGCUUUCUGGACUGUAACUGACACUGAGGCACGAAAGCGUGGGUAGCAAACAGG
RNAcentral lists this ribosomal RNA (251 nucleotides) under uncultured bacterium. RNAcentral describes it as "partial 16S ribosomal RNA". It matches the Rfam family "Bacterial small subunit ribosomal RNA", at positions 524 to 776 of the family's 1533-position model. The record is from RNAcentral.